AGAGUUUGAUCCUGGCUCAGAUUGAACGCUGGCGGCAGGCUUAACACAUGCAAGUCGAGCGGUAACAGAGAGUAGCUUGCUACUCUGCUGACGAGCGGCGGACGGGUGAGUAAUACUUGGGAAUCUGCCUUUUGGAGGGGGAUAACCACUGGAAACGGUGGCUAAUACCGCAUAAUGCUUUCGAGCCAAAGCGGGGGAUCUUCGGACCUCGCGCCAUUAGAUGAGCCCAAGCAAGAUUAGGUAGUUGGUGGGGUAAAGGCCUACCAAGCCGACGAUCUUUAGCUGGUCUGAGAGGAUGAUCAGCCACACUGGGACUGAGACACGGCCCAGACUCCUGCGGGAGGCAGCAGUGGGGAAUAUUGGACAAUGGGCGCAAGCCUGAUCCAGCCAUGCCGCGUGUGUGAAGAAGGCCUUCGGGUUGUAAAGCACUUUCAGUGGUGAGGAAGGCCUAAUAGUUAAUAGUUAUUAGGAUUGACGCUAGCCACAGAAGAAGCACCGGCUAACUCCGUGCCAGCAGCCGCGGUAAUACGGAGGGUGCGAGCGUUAAUCGGAAUUACUGGGCGUAAAGCGCACGUAGGCGGUUUGUUAAGCUAGAUGUGAAAGCCCCGGGCUUAACCUGGGAAUUGCAUUUAGAACUGGCAGGCUAGAGUUUUGAAGAGGGUGGUAGAAUUUCCAGUGUAGCGGUGAAAUGCGUAGAUAUUGGAAGGAAUAUCAGUGGCGAAGGCGGCCACCUGGUCAAAAACUGACGCUGAGGAGCGAAAGCGUGGGGAGCAAACAGGAUUAGAUACCCUGGUAGUCCACGCUGUAAACGAUGUCGACUAGUUGUUCGUGUCAUAAACGAUGUGAGUAACGCAGCUAACGCACUAAGUCGACCGCCUGGGGAGUACGGCCGCAAGGUUAAAACUCAAAUGAAUUGACGGGGGCCCGCACAAGCGGUGGAGCAUGUGGUUUAAUUCGAUGCAACGCGAAGAACCUUACCAUCCCUUGACAUCCAGUGAAUCUUCUAGAGAUAGAGGAGUGCCUUCGGGAGCACUGAGACAGGUGCUGCAUGGCUGUCGUCAGCUCGUGUUGUGAGAUGUUGGGUUAAGUCCCGCAACGAGCGCAACCC
This 1108-nucleotide ribosomal RNA is filed under the name uncultured bacterium. RNAcentral describes it as "bacterial SSU rRNA". It matches the Rfam family "Bacterial small subunit ribosomal RNA", at positions 8 to 1104 of the family's 1533-position model. The record is from RNAcentral.